AUUGAACGCUGGCGGCAGGCCUAACACAUGCAAGUCGAGCGAGCGGCGGACGGGUGAGUAAUGUAUGGGGACUGCCCGAUAGAUGGGGAUCACUACUGGAAACGGUGGUUAAUACCGCAUACUCUCGGAUAACCCAUAUGGGAUGAGCUAGUAGGUGGGGUAAAGGCUCACCUAGUAGACGAUCUCUAGCUGGUCUGAGAGGAAGAUGAGCCACACUGUGACUGAGACACGGCCCAGACUCCUACGGAGUCAGCAGUGGGGAAUCUUGCGCAAUGGGCGCAAGCCUGAUGCAUCCAUGCCGCGUGUAUGAAGAAGGCCUUGGUGUUGUAAAGUACUUUCAGCGGGGACGCGUUACCUGCUGAAGAAGCACCGGCUAACUCCGUGCCAGCAGCCGCGGUAAUAC
Molecule: ribosomal RNA, 403 nt
Filed under: uncultured bacterium
Lineage: Bacteria
Description: partial 16S ribosomal RNA
Rfam family: Bacterial small subunit ribosomal RNA
Source: RNAcentral